GAUGAACGCUGGCGGCGUGCUUAACACAUGCAAGUCGAACGAGAAGUGAAGACGGAAACCUUCGGGCGGAAGGCUUUAUUUCGAGUGGCGGACGGGUGAGUAACGCGUGGGUAACCUGCCUCAUACAGGGGGAUAACAGUUGGAAACGACUGUUAAUACCGCAUAAGACCACAGCACCGCAUGGUGCGGGGGUAAAAACUCCGGUGGUAUGAGAUGGACCCGCGUUCGAUUAGCCAGUUGGCGGGGUAACGGCCCACCAAAGCGACGAUCGAUAGCCGAUCUGAGAGGAUGACCGGCCACAUUGGGACUGAGACACGGCCCAAACUCCUACGGGAGGCAGCAGUGGGGAAUAUUGCACAAUGGGGGAAACCCUGAUGCAGCGACGCCGCGUGAGUGAAGAAGUAUUUCGGCAUGUAAAGCUCUAUCAGCAGGGAAGAAAAUGACGGUACCUGAGGAAGAAGCCCCGGCUAACUACGUG
RNAcentral lists this ribosomal RNA (478 nucleotides) under uncultured bacterium. RNAcentral describes it as "partial 16S ribosomal RNA". It matches the Rfam family "Bacterial small subunit ribosomal RNA", at positions 28 to 507 of the family's 1533-position model. The record is from RNAcentral.